Molecule: ribosomal RNA, 596 nt
Filed under: uncultured marine eukaryote
Lineage: Eukaryota
Description: SSU rRNA
Rfam family: Eukaryotic small subunit ribosomal RNA
Source: RNAcentral
CGGUUAAAAAGCUCGUAGUUGGAUUUCUGUUGAGGACGGCCGGUCCGCACUAUGUGCGUGUAUCUGGUUCGGCCUCGGCAUCCUCUCGAAAGCCGUUUCUGCGCUUGAUUGCGUGGUUCGGACUUCGGGACUUUUACUUUGAGGAAAUUAGAGUGUUCACGGCAGGCAAGCGCCUUGAAUAUAUUAGCAUGGAAUAACAAUAUAGGAUCUUGGUCCUAUUUUGUUGGUUUCUAGGGCUAAGAUAAUGAUUAAUAGGGACAAUUGGGGGCAUUCGUAUUAACGCGUCAGAGGUGGAAUUCUUGGAUUGCGUUACGACGAACUACUGCGAAAGCAUUUGCCAAGGAUGUUUUCAUUGAUCAAGAACGAAAGUAAGGGGAUCGAAGAUGAUUAGAUACCGUCGUAGUCUUUACCAUAAACUAUGCCAACUAGAGAUGGGGCUGCGGUUUAUUUAUGACCCGCUCCGCACCUUAUGAGAAAUCAAAGUUUUUGGGUUCCGGGGGGAGUAUGGUCGCAAGGCUGAAACUUAAAGGAAUUGACGGAGGGCACCACCAGGAGUGGAGCCUGCGGCUUAAUCUGACUCAACACGGGAAAACUCA